CUAGAUCCUAACAGUAACCUUUAACAGGUUGAAACUAAUGGUCAGGUUGUACCCGGGCCUGAAUAUGAAAGUCCUAACCUGAAUGGCUCCAUUGGAACCUCCUCUCCUCAGGAGCACCUGACAGGUCAUUGUAAUCUCACCUCUUUGAUUUACCAAAAAAAAAUGUUGUCACGCACAAAGAUCUGAAUGCAGUAAAAAGGUUAACUAAUAUUCAGUAGUACUGGUAUUCUGCUUCUACCACCAGCACAGCAUUGCUCAAACGAACUACCUUUCCUGCAUUUUAGGUACCACUAAUACGACAUAGACUGUGCCUCUCAGCUAACUAUGCUGACCAUUGCUCCUCUCAGUAUUAGGUUCCUAAGCCAGAAUUCAAUUUAUGCUUCACUUACUCACUAUACUUAAGAAAUAGAAUGCUAUUACAAUCACCGAUGUUGUAUCUUCUUCUAACUAGACCACCUUUUUCUUGUGCACCAUAAAGACCACCAAAGCAGAUUUGGGAGGUAGUACUCCCAUGCUGUUCAAGACAUUUACAGGUAAGGAAUUGCUGGAUUCGAGCGCCAAGGUAAAUCCCCUCCGCUCCAUUCCUUCCUGGCAUUUCCUAGGUAAAGUAAGACCAUCCCUCCCAAUAUUUGUUUUAAUUCUUCCACUAACAGAGAUGCAUGGAGCAGUAUGCUGAAAUCUUUUCGCAAGUUGUCGCUGUUCAAAAGUAUGGAACAAUCCCUUAUGAAUGAUUUGAUGAUUUUAUUUGUCUAGAUGAGUACCUGUUCAUAAUCUAGAUAUGCAUGAUUACAGUAAGCUUACAAUCUGGAAAUGUUUCUUUCUUGAAAAAAUACCUUUAUUCAGAUUCUUUAGAUGAACUAAUGGAGCAUGCUUAUAUAUUAUAAUAAUUGAUAACUCGCCAACAUUAGGGGCCACUUUCCUUUUGUUUUGCUGCUGGGCUGCCAUUGAUGGCUUCCAUAUAUUUUCCUAAAAAUAACAUAGCUUCGUCCCUUUCCUACAAUUACUUAUUUGAUUCAUAUAUUAUUUUCCCCUCUUUUCAUAUCCACUAAGGUAUGAUGAAGAUUUCCUAAUUUCUGUGUCGGACUACUUGAUCAAGUAGUCCAUGUUUGCUAUACAUAUGGUGAAAUCUUUAAAAUAAACUUGGAAUGUUGCCUUAAACUCGAUUAUACCAUUCUCACUUCCUUGUUCUUAACCCAUUUGCUUGUGAACCUAUGCAGAAUCAAAGCAAGGAAAAAAAAGACUGCCAUUCUACUGUAUUUGAAAGACUUGAUGGUGUCCUGCCCCUCCUGCGCCUACAACACUAGACCUGUACCUGGCGGCCUCCAAUUUUGACUGCCUUGCCUUCUUUUCCCAUCUGGUCCGGUGCAGGCAAGGAAGGGGGCGUCUCUUGCAUCAUGGAGUCUCUUGUUCACAUUCUGUUCCUUCCCCAGCUCCUCCACAUGAUUCAGAUGUUCUCAUCAUGUGCUGCUUCUGCCCUCCCUCCAUUGCAAGGGAAAAAAAUAUGCCGCUGCUUUGGCCCCGUUCCUCAUAAGUCAAAAAGGUAACACUCUCGUUCCUUCCAUGAAAUUUCUCACUGCUCCUGCUGUUCCUGCUUGCCUUCGUACACCAUUGGUCAAUUUUACUGUUUGUCCACCUUCCCCACGCCAAACAUGUACUGAUUUGCAAAGUGAAAUAAUAUAAAAACCCAAUAUUUUAACUCCAGUGUGCUCAUUCAGGUCAAGCGCUACACAAGGCUGCAUAAAUAAGCACUGAUUAUCUCUAACAAGCAGCAUGCUAGACUCCUUCGCCCUCCUAUAGAGCUUUCAGUGAUUCUUUACAGCAUGCAUACUGUUAAUCCAGAUUUUAUUACUCUCCCCAGGCCUCUAACUUAAUUAUAGUACUAAUAUUUCUUGCAUUAUAAUAUUACAUGAUACUAUUUACAUUAUAAUAUUACAGGACAUCUCCACUCCUUCUGUGAAUUAUGAAGCCCCUUGCAGAAGUCUUUUGUUCCGUUGUAAUAACUAUAUCCAUAUUUUAGAUUUUUAUCCUAGACUAUGAAGCUGAUAGCUACUAUCUCAAUAAAUCUAAAACUCCUUGUAAAUAACUCUUAUAUUUCGUUGUGACAUAACCAGAAAAUUCUUAUUUGUCCUCUAUGGCAAUAUGAGUCUACUAAAUGUACAAAUUUUAUUAUUCAGAUCGAUAAAGUUGACA
Molecule: long non-coding RNA, 2190 nt
Organism: Panicum virgatum (switchgrass)
Lineage: Eukaryota; Viridiplantae; Streptophyta; Magnoliopsida; Poales; Poaceae
Exons: 3
Source: RefSeq, a predicted model, not a curated record